AGGAAUUAUAAAUUUGUUAGAAACAUUUGUGCCUACCUCUUUACUAUUUUUGAAUUUUCCGUUGGUGUAGGAAAUAUACUAAUUCUAAAAAUACAAAUCCGGUGACUGUAGUUUUUCAUAAAUUUAUAAGUUCAUUUGGUGUUUUAUUUUAUUGACUUAUUAAUAUGAUAUAAUCACAUGUAGUUUGUUUUGUGCCAUCAAUUUUAUGCUUAUCUUGC
RNAcentral lists this long non-coding RNA (218 nucleotides) under Mytilus galloprovincialis (Mediterranean mussel). The record is from RNAcentral. Lineage: Eukaryota; Metazoa; Mollusca; Bivalvia; Mytilida; Mytilidae.